GUGGGGAAUAUUGGACAAUGGGCGAAAGCCUGAUCCAGCCAUGCCGCGUGUGUGAAGAAGGUCUUCGGAUUGUAAAGCACUUUAAGUUGGGAGGAAGGGUUGUAGAUUAAUACUCUGCAAUUUUGACGUUACCGACAGAAUAAGCACCGGCUAACUCUGUGCCAGCAGCCGCGGUAAUACAGAGGGUGCAAGCGUUAAUCGGAAUUACUGGGCGUAAAGCGCGCGUAGGUGGUUUGUUAAGUUGGAUGUGAAAGCCCCGGGCUCAACCUGGGAACUGCAUCCAAAACUGGCAAGCUAGAGUACGGUAGAGGGUGGUGGAAUUUCCUGUGUAGCGGUGAAAUGCGUAGAUAUAGGAAGGAACACCAGUGGCGAAGGCGACCACCUGGACUGAUACUGACACUGAGGUGCGAAAGCGUGGGGAGCAAACAGG
RNAcentral lists this ribosomal RNA (430 nucleotides) under bacterium. RNAcentral's name for it is "bacterial SSU rRNA". It matches the Rfam family "Bacterial small subunit ribosomal RNA", at positions 354 to 776 of the family's 1533-position model. RNAcentral also lists the same sequence under 1 other name. The record is from RNAcentral.